RNAcentral lists this ribosomal RNA (478 nucleotides) under uncultured bacterium. RNAcentral's name for it is "partial 16S ribosomal RNA". It matches the Rfam family "Bacterial small subunit ribosomal RNA", at positions 28 to 523 of the family's 1533-position model. The record is from RNAcentral.
GACGAACGCUGGCGGCGUGCUUAACACAUGCAAGUCGAACGGUAAGGCCCUUCGGGGUACACGAGUGGCGAACGGGUGAGUAACACGUGGGUGAUCUGCCCUGCACUUCGGGAUAAGCCUGGGAAACUGGGUCUAAUACCGGAUAGGACCCUGGGAUGCAUGUCCUGGGGUGGAAAGCUUUUGCGGUGUGGGAUGGGCCCGCGGCCUAUCAGCUUGUUGGUGGGGUGAUGGCCUACCAAGGCGACGACGGGUAGCCGGCCUGAGAGGGUGACCGGCCACACUGGGACUGGGAUACGGCCCAGACUCCUACGGGAGGGAGCAGGGGGGAAUAUUGCACAAUGGGCGCAAGCCUGAUGCAGCGACGCCGCGUGAGGGAUGACGGCCUUCGGGUUGUAAACCUCUUUCAGCACCGACGAAGCGCAAGUGACGGUAGGUGCAGAAGAAGGACCGGCCAACUACGUGCCAGCCGCCGCAGUAA